AACGCAAAUUGCACUCUCUGGCAACCCGGGGAGUAUGCCUGUUUGAGGGUCAGUGUUAAUAAAAAUCGGGUUCGUUGCAAUUUUUGUGACGUUUCCGGAGUUUGAGUUAUCUUAACUUCGGUUUUAAGAGGCUUAAAAUUGACCUUUUUUUUGUGCAUUUUAGACGUACAUAAAUUUUUUUUUAUUCGUCCAUCCUAAUGCCAAAAUCUAUUAGAUGCGACCAUAUCUUGUGGUUCCGUGUCUAUAAAUUUUUCAUGAUUUGACCUCAAAUCAGGUAGGAACACCCGCUGAACUUAA
Molecule: unclassified non-coding RNA, 297 nt
Filed under: uncultured Glomeraceae
Lineage: Eukaryota; Fungi; Glomeromycota; Glomeromycetes; Glomerales; Glomeraceae
Description: sequence contains ITS2
Source: RNAcentral